GUCCUGAGCAGCAUGAGCAUGUGGACGCCUUUGAUCACACAAAGUGUGACUUCUCUGGCAUGUCUGGGCACAAAGAUCUGGUACUUUCAAAAGUCAUCCACAAGGCUUUUGUGAAGGUCCACGAGAAGGCAACUGAGGCUACUUUUGUGGAUAUGUGUUGGUUUGAGUACUGUUCAGGCAAGAUAAUGCGGGGCAAUUUAAACUCUUUCAUCGCAGACCACCCCUUCCUCUUCUUCAUCAGACAUAACCCCACUAUGAACAUCCUGUUUGCUGGUCGGUUCUGCUGCCCUGUGUGAGCUCUGUGUCCUUUAGAGCAGCUCAGUACCAGAAGUCUUUAGUGUUUAGUUGGAGAACCUUUCAAAAUCACUGCACAACAGCGCUGUA
Molecule: long non-coding RNA, 384 nt
Organism: Oreochromis niloticus (Nile tilapia)
Lineage: Eukaryota; Metazoa; Chordata; Actinopteri; Cichliformes; Cichlidae
Exons: 2
Source: RefSeq, a predicted model, not a curated record